This 101-nucleotide small RNA is filed under the name Candidatus Pantoea symbiotica. RNAcentral's name for it is "Pantoea sp. YR512 Enterobacteria rnk leader". It matches the Rfam family "Gammaprotebacteria rimP leader". RNAcentral also lists the same sequence under 1 other name. Lineage: Bacteria; Pseudomonadati; Pseudomonadota; Gammaproteobacteria; Enterobacterales; Erwiniaceae. The record is from RNAcentral.
AGCCGCUAUGCGGCGUACAGGGUCCAGUCACAAAAAGCCCCGAAUAUUCGGGGUUUUUUGUUAUCAGGAAAUCGAAACACUGGGCUAUAGGCCCUUUUUUU